RNAcentral lists this ribosomal RNA (253 nucleotides) under uncultured bacterium. RNAcentral's name for it is "partial 16S ribosomal RNA". It matches the Rfam family "Bacterial small subunit ribosomal RNA", at positions 524 to 776 of the family's 1533-position model. The record is from RNAcentral.
UACGUAGGGGGCAAGCGUUGUCCGGAUUUAUUGGGCGUAAAGCGUCCGUAGGUGGCGUGUCAAGUCUGCGGUCAAAGACUGGGGCUUAACCCUGGAAAGGCCGUGGAAACUGACGAGCUAGAGUGCAGUAGGGGUAGAGGGAAUUCCCGGUGUAGCGGUGAAAUGCGUAGAGAUCGGGAAGAACAUCGGUGGCGAAAGCGCUCUACUGGACUGCAACUGACACUCAGGGACGAAAGCUAGGGGAGCGAAUGGG